GGAACAUUUAAUAAGGCUUUUAUCAAAGAGGAAAAGUAGAAAGUUUGAUUAUUUUUUAAUUACUCAGGCAAACAAAGGGUAAAACAACAGAAAAAGCAAGUGUUUCAGAUUUAUUUAUAGGUUGAUUUGUGGAAAAUUGGUCGUCACAUUCCGCAGUGACUGCAGGCAAUUAUUGUAAUUGUGUCUCUCAGUGUCUUUAACUUUUGUUUCAAACUUUGGCACGCCAGGCGGAACGCAUUCACGUAUGUAAAAGAUACUUGUUGCCAACUACCGAUCUCCUGCAGCAGCAGGAGUCAUAACUCAGAGUUGAGCUGCCCUUUCAUACAGAAACACUCCCCAACAGGAAUGACUGCAAUGUCUUCACAAAGAGACCCAUAGAAGAAUAUCUCCUGCAGGUUUGUGAUUUGACAUUUCCAGUCGGCGUGAUUGACAGCUUGGAGGUGUGGG
Long non-coding RNA from Austrofundulus limnaeus, 447 nucleotides. RefSeq lists it as uncharacterized. Lineage: Eukaryota; Metazoa; Chordata; Actinopteri; Cyprinodontiformes; Rivulidae. The transcript is spliced from 3 exons. The record is from RefSeq and is a predicted model, not a curated record.